UGAUAGCCCGUGCGGCCGUGCGUUGCUAAAAUUUGAACAAAAUAAUAGUUUUAAAAAAAUGCAUACGUACGGUCAAACCCAUGCAAGGUUACGCAUACGUACGGUACCGUACCCGAUGUGCAUAGUAUAGGUAUACGCAUACUGCUUGGCCUCACUUAAGCCCAUUUUUAUAACACCAGAAACCCACUAAAAAAACGUGUAAAUUCAAAUUUUCCAACUGGGGCCUAGUGGAAGCUACAAUGUGAGACAAGCAGAUAAUGAGCUGUACCACCAACCAAAUUCAUAUUUCUCUGUACAAGAAACGUUUACAAAAUGUUAAGAUCAUCAGCUAACAUCCUAAAAUAAGCAACUGAGUGCUUAUGAUGCAGCAUUCCUUACUUAUUACAAAAUUUCCAGGCUGUAAGAAACAUUUGCAGCACUUUAUUUCAAUCAAAGUACAAAAGAAAAAGGGCAAUAUUAGCUCAAGCUGACAGGGAAACAGCCAUUUCUAUCAUACACCUUCGCUGGUUCGCUAACAUGGAUUUAUAAGAAACUGCUAGCCAUACUCGACCGUGUAUUUCCAAAAUUCCAUUCGGUUUCUGUCGGCAACAGGAAUCCUUCCUCUGAGAAUGCAUGAAAAAUAAAUGAAAUUUGAAGACAUUCAUUCAGGGUAGCAUUUAGGAGGUUUUUGCUAAUCUCAAGAGUCCAGACUCUUAACUAGUGGCGUGAAAGAUUAAAAAAAACAUUAAAAUAAACCAUGAAAAGAAAAAAUCCCGAUCACCUAAAUAAGAUUCAUCAAUUGAGGUGUUAAACUGUUGUUAACAAAAAUAAGUUUAAGACAGUAGUGCCACUCUCUCUGAGAUAAGCAAAGAAGAAAAUUAGCUUCCAGUGGUAAUAUAAAAGAACUAUCUGCUUACCUCCUAUGUAAAAUGAUAUCACUGCUUAGUUGCAACCUCAUCUUUAGAUUCUACCUGAAAUUGCAAGGGCAAAAGGUGUAAUCAAACAUAUAAAAUACAAGAGUAAUAACAAUUCUAGUUGAAAGCAAAUUAUUCUCAAAACAUAUAUUUUCCCAGUAAAUAUGCCAGUAUGCCAAAGUAAAAUUGUGUUUCAGGANNNN
This 1096-nucleotide long non-coding RNA is filed under the name Setaria italica (foxtail millet). RNAcentral describes it as "long non-coding RNA (SITA_LNC007380)". The record is from RNAcentral. Lineage: Eukaryota; Viridiplantae; Streptophyta; Magnoliopsida; Poales; Poaceae.